RNAcentral lists this ribosomal RNA (466 nucleotides) under uncultured bacterium. RNAcentral describes it as "partial 16S ribosomal RNA". It matches the Rfam family "Bacterial small subunit ribosomal RNA", at positions 28 to 507 of the family's 1533-position model. The record is from RNAcentral.
GAUGAACGCUGGCGGCGUGCUUAACACAUGCAAGUCGAACGGAAAGGCCCAAGCUUGCUUGGGUACUCGAGUGGCGAACGGGUGAGUAACACGUGGGUGAUCUGCCCUGCACUUCGGGAUAAGCCUGGGAAACUGGGUCUAAUACCGGAUAGGACCACAUUUUGGAUGGUGUGGUGGAAAGUUUUUCGGUGUGGGAUGAGCUCGCGGCCUAUCAGCUUGUUGGUGGGGUAAUGGCCUACCAAGGCGUCGACGGGUAGCCGGCCUGAGAGGGUGUACGGCCACAUUGGGACUGAGAUACGGCCCAGACUCCUACGGGAGGCAGCAGGGGGGAAUAUUGCACAAGGGGCGCAAGCCUGAUGCAGCGACGCCGCGGGGGGGAUGACGGCCUUCGGGUUGGAAACUCCUUUCGCUAGGGACGAAGCGUUAUGUGACGGUACCUGGAGAAGAAGCACCGGCUAACUACGUG